AGCAGCCGCGGUAAUUCCAGCUCCAAUAGCGUAUAUUAAAGUUGUUGCAGUUAAAAAGCUCGUAGUUGAAUUUCGGGAUUGACGUGAUGGUCGUGCCUUAAGGGGUAUGAACUGUUGCUGUUGAUUUCUCACCUUCUGGAGAAACUUGAUGUCCUUAAUUGGGUGUCUUGCGGAUCCAGGACCUUUACCUUGAAAAAUUAGAGUGUUUAAAGCAGGCAUUUUUGCUCGAAUACAUUAGCAUGGAAUAAUAGAAUAGGACGGCAUGGUUCUAUUUUGUUGGUUUCUAGGAUCACCGUAAUGAUUAAUAGGGAUAGUUGGGGGCAUUAGUAUUCAAUUGUCAGAGGUGAAAUUCUUGGAUUUAUUGAAGACUAACUACUGCGAAAGCAUUUGCCAAGGAUGUUUUCAUUAAUCAAGAACGAAAGUUAGGGGAUCGAAGACGAUCAGAUACCGUCGUAGUCUUAACCAUAAACUAUGCCGACUAGGAAUCAGACGAUGUUAAUUUUUAAUGUACUCGGUUU
This 518-nucleotide unclassified non-coding RNA is filed under the name uncultured Entrophospora. RNAcentral describes it as "SSU rRNA". It matches the Rfam family "Eukaryotic small subunit ribosomal RNA", at positions 569 to 1082 of the family's 1831-position model. The record is from RNAcentral. Lineage: Eukaryota; Fungi; Glomeromycota; Glomeromycetes; Entrophosporales; Entrophosporaceae.